RNAcentral lists this ribosomal RNA (315 nucleotides) under uncultured eukaryote. Its description in RNAcentral is "partial 18S ribosomal RNA". It matches the Rfam family "Eukaryotic small subunit ribosomal RNA", at positions 1470 to 1796 of the family's 1831-position model. The record is from RNAcentral.
CCCUUAGACGUUCUGGGCCGCACGCGCGCUACACUGACCAGUGCAACAAGCAUCCGUCCUUGGCCGACAGGCCCGGGCAAUCUUUGAACGCUGGUCGUGAUGGGGAUAGACUUUUGCAAUUUUUGGUCUUCAACGAGGAAUUCCUAGUAAACGCAAGUCAUCAACUUGCAUUGAUUACGUCCCUGCCCUUUGUACACACCGCCCGUCGCACCUACCGAUUGAAUGGUCCGGUGAAGCCUCCGGAUUGGCGCGCACCCCGGUACCGCCGAGAAGUUGGCUAAACCUUACCAUUUAGAGGAAGGUGAAGUCGUAACA